AGUGAACGCUGGCGGUAGGCCUAACACAUGCAAGUCGAACGGCAGCACAGUAAGAGCUUGCUCUUACGGGUGGCGAGUGGCGGACGGGUGAGGAAUACAUCGGAAUCUACUUUUUCGUGGGGGAUAACGUAGGGAAACUUACGCUAAUACCGCAUACGACCUACGGGUGAAAGCAGGGGAUCUUCGGACCUUGCGCGAUUGAAUGAGCCGAUGUCGGAUUAGCUAGUUGGCGGGGUAAAGGCCCACCAAGGCGACGAUCCGUAGCUGGUCAGAGAGGAGGAUAGGCCGCACUGGAGCUGGACCGCGGUCCAGACUCCUACGAGAAGGAGCAGUGGGGAAUAUUAGACAGUAGGCGCAAGCCUGAUCCAGCCAUACCGCGUGGGUGAAGAAGGCCUUCGGGUUGUAAAGCCCUUUUGUUGGGAAAGAAAAGCAGCAGGUUAAUACCCAGCUGUUCUGACGGUACCCAAAGAAUAAGCACCGGCUAACUUCGUG
This 492-nucleotide ribosomal RNA is filed under the name uncultured bacterium. RNAcentral's name for it is "partial 16S ribosomal RNA". It matches the Rfam family "Bacterial small subunit ribosomal RNA", at positions 29 to 507 of the family's 1533-position model. The record is from RNAcentral.